UGGUUAAAAUACUUAUGCUAAUCAGUGGCGGAGCCACAUGCAACAACAUGGGGGCAAUGAACCCAACAAGAUUAAAAAAAUAGUGUAACUUAAAGCUCAAUCUAUAUGAUGUCCCCACUCAUAAUUAUUUUUUGCUCCCAUACCUUUUUUUUUGCCCCCAACAGAAAUAUUUUCUGCCUCCGCCGAUGAUGCUAAUCCAUACAAUUUAUUUCAACAUAGAAUAAUAUAUUACAUUUGGAAAAAAAUAUGCCCCUGAGGCUAAAACUUUU
RNAcentral lists this long non-coding RNA (269 nucleotides) under Brassica napus (rape). Its description in RNAcentral is "long non-coding RNA (BNAP_LNC015720)". Lineage: Eukaryota; Viridiplantae; Streptophyta; Magnoliopsida; Brassicales; Brassicaceae. The record is from RNAcentral.